RNAcentral lists this ribosomal RNA (252 nucleotides) under uncultured bacterium. Its description in RNAcentral is "partial 16S ribosomal RNA". It matches the Rfam family "Bacterial small subunit ribosomal RNA", at positions 524 to 773 of the family's 1533-position model. The record is from RNAcentral.
UACGUAGGAUGCGAGCGUUGUCCGGAAUUAUUGGGCGUAAAGAGAACGUAGGUGGUUUCUUAAGUUCGAUCUUAAAGACCGGGGCUCAACCCCGGGAAUGGAUUGAAAACUGGGAGACUAGAGGAUGUUAGAGGACGGUGGAAUUCCCAGUGUAGCGGUGAAAUGCGUAGAUAUUGGGAGGAACACCAGUGGCGAAAGCGGACCGUCUGGGACAUUCCGUGACACUGAGGUUCGAAAGCUCGGGGAGCAAAC